RNAcentral lists this ribosomal RNA (250 nucleotides) under uncultured bacterium. Its description in RNAcentral is "partial 16S ribosomal RNA". It matches the Rfam family "Bacterial small subunit ribosomal RNA", at positions 355 to 622 of the family's 1533-position model. The record is from RNAcentral.
UGGGGAAUCUUGCGCAAUGGGGGCAACCCUGACGCAGCCAUGCCGCGUGAACGAUGAAGGCCUUAGGGUUGUAAAGUUCUUUUGCCCGUGACGAUGAUGACGGUAACGGGAGAAUAAGCUCCGGCUAACUUCGUGCCAGCAGCCGCGGUAAUACGAAGGGGGCUAGCGUUGUUCGGAAUUACUGGGCGUAAAGCGCGCGCAGGCGGUUUUGUAAGUUGGGGGUGAAAUCCCCGGGCUCAACCCGGGAAUG